GGAGGGUGCAAGCGUUAUCCGGAUUCACUGGGUUUAAAGGGAGCGUAGGUGGGCUGGUAAGUCAGUGGUGAAAUCCCCGAGCUUAACUUGGGAACUGCCAUUGAUACUAUUAGUCUUGAAUAUUGUGGAGGUCAGCGGAAUAUGUCAUGUAGCGGUGAAAUGCUUAGAGAUGACAUAGAACACCAAUUGCGAAGGCAGCUGGCUACACAUAUAUUGACACUGAGGCUCGAAAGCGUGGGGAUCAAACAGGAUUAGAUACCCUGGUAGUCCACGCCCUAAACUAUGGAUACUCGACAUACGCGAUACACUGUGUGUGUCUGAGCGAAAGCAUUAAGUAUCCCACCUGGGAAGUACGAUCGCAAGAUUGAA
Molecule: ribosomal RNA, 369 nt
Filed under: uncultured bacterium
Lineage: Bacteria
Description: bacterial SSU rRNA
Rfam family: Bacterial small subunit ribosomal RNA
Source: RNAcentral